GUGAGGAAUAUUGGACAAUGGAUGGAAAUCUGAUCCAGCCAUGCCGCGUGCAGGAAGACGGCCCUAUGGGUUGUAAACUGCUUUUAUACGGGAGCAAUAAGGUCUAUGCAUAGAUUGAUGAGAGUACCGUAUGAAUAAGCAUCGGCUAACUCCGUGCCAGCAGCCGCGGUAAUACGGAGGAUGCGAGCGUUAUCCGGAUUUAUUGGGUUUAAAGGGUGCGUAGGCGGCGUUGUAAGUCAGCGGUGAAAUUUUGCAGCUUAACUGUAAAAGCGCCGUUGAUACUGUGAAGCUAGGAUUUGGUUGCUGUGGGCGGAAUGUGUGGUGUAGCGGUGAAAUGCAUAGAGAUCACACAGAAUAUCGAUUGCGAAGGCAGCUCACAAAGCCAAUAUUGACGCUGAGGCACGAAAGUGUGGGGAUCAAACAGGAUUAGAUACCCCAGUAGUCC
RNAcentral lists this ribosomal RNA (445 nucleotides) under uncultured bacterium. RNAcentral's name for it is "partial 16S ribosomal RNA". It matches the Rfam family "Bacterial small subunit ribosomal RNA", at positions 354 to 796 of the family's 1533-position model. The record is from RNAcentral.